GGGGGGGGGGGGGGGGGGGGGGGGGGGGGGGGGGUGGGGGGGGGGGGGGGGGGGUGCGCGCGUGUGCAGCGGCGGGCGGGUGAGUAAUGGCUAGGAAGAUGCCUGGUGGUGGGGGAUGACGUACGGGAACGGGGGAUAAUACCGCAUAGGACCUGAGGUCGGAAGUGGGGGCACUUCGGACCGCCCGCGAUCAGAUACUCCUAGGUCGGAUUAGCUAGUUGGUGGGGUAAAGGCCUACCAAGGCGACGAUCCGUAACUGGUCUGAGAGGAUGAUCAGUCACACUGGAACUGAGACACGGGCCAGACUCCUACGGGAGGCAGCAGUGGGGAAUAUUGGACAAUGGGCGAAAGCCUGAUCCAGCCAUGCCGCGUGUGUGAAGAAGGUCUUCGGAUUGUAAAGCACUUUAAGUUGGGAGGAAGGGCAGUAAGUUAAUACCUUGCUGUUUUGACGUUACCAACAGAAUAAGCACCGGCUAACUUCGUG
This 484-nucleotide ribosomal RNA is filed under the name uncultured bacterium. Its description in RNAcentral is "partial 16S ribosomal RNA". The stretch from base 51 to 484 matches the Rfam family "Bacterial small subunit ribosomal RNA", at positions 39 to 507 of the family's 1533-position model. The record is from RNAcentral.